Molecule: ribosomal RNA, 1343 nt
Filed under: uncultured bacterium
Lineage: Bacteria
Description: 16S ribosomal RNA
Rfam family: Bacterial small subunit ribosomal RNA
Source: RNAcentral
GACGAACGCUGGCGGCGUGCUUAACACAUGCAAGUCGAACGGAAAGGCCCUGCUUUUGUGGGGUGCUCGAGUGGCGAACGGGUGAGUAACACGUGAGUAACCUGCCCUUGACUUUGGGAUAACUUCAGGAAACUGGGGCUAAUACCGGAUAGGAGCUCCUGCUGCAUGGUGGGGGUUGGAAAGUUUCGGCGGUUGGGGAUGGACUCGCGGCUUAUCAGCUUGUUGGUGGGGUAGUGGCUUACCAAGGCUUUGACGGGUAGCCGGCCUGAGAGGGUGACCGGCCACAUUGGGACUGAGAUACGGCCCAGACUCCUACGGGAGGCAGCAGUGGGGAAUAUUGCACAAUGGGCGGAAGCCUGAUGCAGCAACACCGCGUGCGGGAUGACGGCCUUCGGGUUGUAAACCGCUUUCGCCUGUGACGAAGCGUGAGUGACGGUAAUGGGUAAAGAAGCACCGGCUAACUACGUGCCAGCAGCCGCGGUGAUACGUAGGGUGCGAGCGUUGUCCGGAUUUAUUGGGCGUAAAGGGCUCGUAGGUGGUUGAUCGCGUCGGAAGUGUAAUCUUGGGGCUUAACCCUGAGCGUGCUUUCGAUACGGGUUGACUUGAGGAAGGUAGGGGAGAAUGGAAUUCCUGGUGGAGCGGUGGAAUGCGCAGAUAUCAGGAGGAACACCAGUGGCGAAGGCGGUUCUCUGGGCCUUUCCUGACGCUGAGGAGCGAAAGCGUGGGGAGCGAACAGGCUUAGAUACCCUGGUAGUCCACGCUGUAAACGGUGGGUACUAGGUGUGGGGUCCAUUCCACGGGUUCCGUGCCGUAGCUAACGCUUUAAGUACCCCGCCUGGGGAGUACGGCCGCAAGGCUAAAACUCAAAGGAAUUGACGGGGCCCCGCACAAGCGGCGGAGCAUGCGGAUUAAUUCGAUGCAACGCGUAGAACCUUACCUGGGUUUGACAUGGAUCGGGAGUGCUCAGAGAUGGGUGUGCCUCUUUUGGGGUCGGUUCACAGGUGGUGCAUGGCUGUCGUCAGCUCGUGUCGUGAGAUGUUGGGUUAAGUCCCGCAACGAGCGCAACCCUUGUUCACUGUUGCCAGCACGUUAUGGUGGGGACUCAGUGGAGACCGCCGGGGUCAACUCGGAGGAAGGUGGGGAUGACGUCAAGUCAUCAUGCCCCUUAUGUCCAGGGCUUCACGCAUGCUACAAUGGCUGGUACAGAGAGUGGCGAGCCUGUGAGGGUGAGCGAAUCUCGGAAAGCCGGUCUCAGUUCGGAUUGGGGUCUGCAACUCGACCUCAUGAAGUCGGAGUCGCUAGUAAUCGCAGAUCAGCAACGCUGCGGUGAAUACGUUCCCGGG